This 466-nucleotide ribosomal RNA is filed under the name uncultured bacterium. RNAcentral's name for it is "partial 16S ribosomal RNA". It matches the Rfam family "Bacterial small subunit ribosomal RNA", at positions 28 to 507 of the family's 1533-position model. The record is from RNAcentral.
GAUGAACGCUGGCGGCGUGCUUAACACAUGCAAGUCGAACGGAAAGGCUCCUGCUUGCAGGGGUACUCGAGUGGCGAACGGGUGAGUAACACGUGGGUGAUCUGCCCUGCACUUCGGGAUAAGCCUGGGAAACUGGGUCUAAUACCGGAUAGGACGAUGGUUUGGAUGCCAUUGUGGAAAGUUUUUUCGGUGUGGGAUGAGCUCGCGGCCUAUCAGCUUGUUGGUGGGGUAAUGGCCUACCAAGGCGUCGACGGGUAGCCGGCCUGAGAUGGUGUACGGCCACAUUGGGACUGAGAUACGGCCCAGACUCCUACGGGAGGCAGCAGUGGGGAAUAUUGCACAAUGGGCGCAAGCCUGAUGCAGCGACGCCGCGUGGGGGAUGACGGCCUUCGGGUUGUAAACUCCUUUCGCUAGGGACGAAGCGCAAGUGACGGUACCUGGAGAAGAAGCACCGGCUAACUACGUG